Molecule: long non-coding RNA, 6177 nt
Organism: Piliocolobus tephrosceles (Ugandan red Colobus)
Lineage: Eukaryota; Metazoa; Chordata; Mammalia; Primates; Cercopithecidae
Source: Ensembl
AAAAUAUAUACACAUAAAUGUGCAUAUAUAUAUACAUAUAUAUGUAUGUAUAUAAUGGAUCGAAUAAUGAGGGGGGAAAACAUAAAAUGGGAUUAACCAAACACAUUAGUGUUUAAUUUGUACAUAUUUAUAAAUUUGAAUUUAUGUAUAUAUUUACUUACACAUAUAUACAUAAAAGAAUAAGAAUAACGAAAAAGAGGUAGAAACGACUAAGUCAAUCAAAUAGGCAAAAAUAUACAUGUAUGCAUAUACAAAUAUAUAACAUGUGUGUGUGUGUAUGUAUGUAUGUAUGUAUGUAUGUAUGUAUGUAUGCAUGUGCUUUCAUUUAUACAGUAGUCGUACGAACACAGAUUAAAGGCAAAACAAAUCAUACAUAUAGGGUAUAAAUAUAUAAUAAACUAUAAAAAAAAUAAGAAAGAGUACAUCAGUAGCUACUAAGGGGGAAAAGGUUUUAUAAUGUACAUACAUACAAGUACAUAUAUAUAUGUAUACGCACAUAUUUUAUAAAAAAAAAAAAAAAAAAAAAAAAAAAAAAAAAAAAAUAGCCCCUUUAAUUUGUGGCUGUUUUUACUCAGCAUAAUAAUAUUAAUUAUUUCAUCAACUUCGUUUACUCAAAUAUAAAUAGAAUAUAUCCAAAAUGAGCGGAAUAAAAGAUGAUAAUUACAAAAAUAAUCCUAAAUCUAAAUACCUGCAGUCUCUAGUAAUGGAAAUGUCGAGGUCGUACAUGAACAGACAAGAUAGAACUAGUGCAAUAAAUAUGUAUAUAGAAAAAUCUUCGUAUAAUCCUCAAUUUAUACCAGAUGAAGAAGAAGAAGAUGAUGAAGCUGAAAGUGAGACUUUACGAGAUAAAAUCAUAAGAAUAAUAACAAUAAUUUUUCCUAAUUAUUCACCUUGGUUUUGGUUUUUAUAUCAUUUUUUAAUUAAUUUAGUGGUAGUAUGUGUUAGCUUAAGUUUUUUAUCACAAGUAAAUAUAAUUAAUGGUGAGAGUGUAGGAAUACAUAAUAAGGAUCAUAUUUAUGGUAGUAUAUAUAGUUGUUAUUUAAUUUUAUUUGUUAAUAUAAUAACCUUUUCUGCUGUUAUGAUUUUACGUGCAAGUAUUCAUAAAUUUUUAUUAGAAAAGGUAUUACAGCCUAGUGCUUUGUGUGCAGCAUUUUAUAAUACGGUUGACCCUGAGUUGAUAUAUUUAAUUUGGUCGUCUGUUCAAAUUAUAUUUUGGUAUACUAACAUAACAUUAACAGUAGAAGCUGAUGAAAAAAAUAAUUAUUACACAUUAAAAGUUUUUCCUUAUAUAUUUAAAGAUAAUACAAAAUUUACAUUUUUAACUAAUUUGCAUAGAUACAUUACAUUCCCUAUUUUAUUAUAUAUAGUUUUUGCAGCUCGUUCAUUAAUUUUAUCAAUCAUAUCAUUUGUUUUUGAAUUGGGAUUUUUAAUGAAUGCACAUGACUUACUAAGUAGAUAUUUAAGAAAGUAUGGUAUUUUAAGAAAAUUUAACAUAGAAUGGUUUGCAUUUAUGACAGACAAACAUGAAAAUAUGCGCAUUAUGUUUGGUAAUGAAUUAUAUCAAGAUGAAAAAAUAAUAAGACAGUUAGCUACUAAUUAUACUGAUAAACAACUAAUACAAAAUAAAGCUGAUUUAUUAUUGUUUCAAAAUUUACCACGUAAUUGUAUGUGUUGUAAAAUACCCAUGAAUAAGAAUAAAAAAAAUACGAUGAAAUUAUUAUUACCUUCUGUUUUCGAAGAAAAAAAUAUAUUGAAAAGUGAAACUUCAUCAAUAAAAAAUUGGUUAGCUUGUCAUUACGUUGUUAAUACAGCACCUAAAUUGUUUUUAUUAAAUAAUAGUAUUUCUUUAACAAAUAAAGUGCUAGUAAAAAAUGGUAGUGAAAUUUUAUUUCGUCAAGUAAUAAUGUCUUUAAAAAUGUACUAUCAAGAGAAAAAUGACAACUAUGCAUUUACUGGUUCACCUAUGAAUAAUACUACACAUAGUGAUGAUUUCCAAAACAAAAAUAUAAUGAAUGCAAAUUUAAAUACUGGAUUUUCUGUUGGUACGAACAAACAUGGUACAUAUAAUGUAUGUCAAAAUGAAAGCAAAUGUAGUAAUAUAAGUAAUUAUCCAGUAAACAAAGAUGGACAUAUAGGUGAUAACUUCACUGGUAAUAAUAUUAAUAAGUUGAAUAGUAAUAGAGGUAAUGUCGAUAGGGUUAGUAGUAGUUACGAUAAAGGUACGGUAAAUAUAAGUAGUAAAAAAAAAAUGGGUAAUAACCCUAGUAAUGACGAUGUGGAGAUACCUAAAUCCAAUCUAGAUAAUAGAAAAAAGAAAAAAAUAAAUCUCGAAAAUAUUUUUAACGAUAUUGACCAUGAUUUAAUUCCUAAUAGACAAACAGUCCGUCAUAAUGGUAAUGGUAGUAGUAGUAGUAUUAGUGGUAGUAGUAUUAUUAGUAGUCUGAAAAUGAAUGGUGUCAGGAAUUUAAAAGAAGUAGUUGAUAUGACACAUAUGGUAAGAGAUACAAAACAGAAUGAUUUGAAUUUUGAAAAUAGAACAAGAAACAAAUCGAAAAUAAAUUUAAAAAAUAAAAAAAACAGGAGUCGUAACAAUGAAAAUAACAAUAGCAGUAGUCAAUACAGUAAUAGUAAUAGUAAUCGAAAAAAAGAACAAAUGGAAAAAGUGAGUCAAUUAGAUGAUAGCGUUCUUAUUUCAAGCGAUGUUGAUGGAAUUAAUAAAAACAAAAACAAAGAAGCUCGAAGACAUAAAAAAAAAAUGAACUUGUCGAAGCAGAAUAAUAACACGUCAUGUAAGGAAAUAAAUGGUAAUUUAAAAAAAACUGAAAGUGCUGAUUAUCUUCUUAAUAUUUCAAGUAAUAAUGUUAGUAAAGACAUAAUGACUAUAAAUGAUGAAAAGUUAAUUAGCACUAACAUUACACCAGAAAAUAAAAACAAAAAUAAAAGCAUUGGCUCUUUAGGUAAGUUACCAAAUAAAGCAGCGAAAGAAUUAAAAGGGAAUACGAAUAGAAUUUAUAUUAAUAAUAAUCAAAAUGGUAGUAACAAUCGGAGCAGUAGUACCAAACAAAAUAAUAUAGAAGCAAAUCAAAGUUUUAAUUCUCAAAGUAGUAACAUUAUUAAAAAUAUGAAAGAACAUCCUUUAAGCAAAAAUUUCGAAAAUAAAUAUACGGACGUCGCAAAUAUAAUAAAAGAAGAAGGUGAGGAUAAGUUUUUUAAUGAAAAUAUUGAACAUUAUAAAAGUAUUGUAAUUCCAGUUAAAGAUGUAACGAUAGAAGAUGUAAUAAAAAAGAAAAAUACAAGUGAGUCGUUCCAUAAAAGAGAGUUGAUUGUGGAUGAGGAUGAAAAUGGUUUUGUUAGUGGUGGUGGUGUUAAUUACAAUCGCAACAGAAGGUGUGUAACUAAAGAAUGUAAAGUACCCAACGAAGCCGAUUGCGAGAACCCAUCAAGUAGUGUCGUUUUAGAUAAAGAAUAUAUUAUUGGUAGUACAUUGUUUACAGAAAAAAAGUUAGAAGUAAAUGAAAAUCCGAUUAUAAAUAAUAAAUUUACUUUUAAAAAUGAUAUACCUAAAGAUAUUGAUGGUACUUAUAAGGAUAUUGGUAAGAGUAAAAAAAACAUGAUAAAUAGUAAUACUAUUAAUGACAUGGGAAAUAAGAUAGUUCCAAAAAAAGAAGUAAAAGAAUUUAGUUCUAAAAAUAAUUCGAUAAUAUAUAACUCGAAAUUUAUUAAUAAAGAAUUAAAUGUAUUAGAAAGAAGUGAUUAUGUUGGUAAUACUGUAAAAAGAUUAAAAGAAAAUAAAAAAAAUAAAUGUAAAAAUUAUUUUGGUUGUAAAGGUAACAAAAAAGAACGACAUAACAUAGUAAAAAAAGAUGUAUUACUUGAGUUAGAUGAUGAAUUUGUAAUGAAUAUGAAAAAUCCAGCUCAAUUAAAUUUAAGUGGUAAUGAGUUUCUAACAAGAGAAAUGUUAGAUGUGUUUUUAAAAUCUGAAGAAGCAGAAGAAUUUAUGAAAGAAUAUGAUUUAUCAGGUCAUGGUAAAAUUGAUAUUAUUAUGUUUAGAAAUGCAAUAAAAAGAACUAUUUCUGCUCGUAAAAAAUUUAUAAAAAGUUUAAAAGGAAAAGAGAGCAUUUUAAAAUUAGUUCGUCGUUUAAUGUCUAUUUUACUUUCUUUUUUUGCUGUAGUUGUUUUGUUAUUUAUGUUUGGUGUAACGCCGGAUACUAUUAUAGUUACAGGUGCUGCAUUUAUUACAGCAAUAACAGUUAUAUUAAGUUAUAUGUAUACAAAUUUUAUUACUUCUGUCAUUUUUAUUGCUUUUUCAAAUCCAUAUAACAUAGGAGAUCGGGUUCGAUUAGAUGGAGGAGAAGCAAUGUAUAUAAAAAAAAUAAAAACAUAUACUACUGAAUUUGAAACCACAACUGGUAAAAUUGUUAUAUAUGAAAAUUCCAAACUUAGUAAUGCUAAAAUAUUUAAUGAAAGUAGAUCUAAAAAUGCAUUUAUAGAUAUACAAUUUAAAGUUGAUAUUAACACUCCUUUAUUAGCGUUGAAAGAAUUAAGAAAAAGUUUACAAUUUUUAGUUGAUAGUAGACCUAGUGAUUUUUGUAAGACUAAAAAUUUAUAUUAUGGUUUAUCAUUACAACCUGGAUAUUUUUAUGAAAUAAGUUUUUGGAUAAAAUGUGUUGAAGGUUGGGGAAAUUGGAGAAAAGUAUUAGAACUUAGAACAGAUGUGUAUGAUUUUAUUAUAUUACAAUUAAGAUUGCUAAGUAUAUCUUAUAGACUACCUACUCAAAAAGUUGGUUUUACUGCUCCAUUAAAUAUAAUAGAUGGGAACCAUAAUCCUAAUUAUAAUUUUAAUCUUAACGCUACUUCGGCUGCUGCUGCUGCUGCUGCUGCUGCUGCUGCUACUACUUCUGUUUCCGCUUAUCCUAACAACGUCAAUAAUAUUGAUAACAUGAACUAUAAUAAUAGCACUAUUGAAAAAGUUGGUAGGAGUAAACUAAGUAAAUAUAUGUUACCACUUAAAGAUGCAGGUAGUAGAAACCCUAUGUUUGUUCAGCUAUCAAAACAUAAAAGAGAAUUUAGUUCUUUUCUUAAUGAAACCAAUAUUAAUCCAUCACUAAGUUGUACCAACAAAUUGAAUAUAAAUAGGGAUGAUUCUAUGUCCAAUGGAUUUAAUCAUUUGGAUAUAAAAAAUGGUAGUACUAAUAAAAACGUCGUAAGUAUAAAUCCUUUACCUGUGUGUAAUCAACAACCUUCAUAUUAUAACGGUAUAAUUGAACAUUCCGAUAAAUGGAAUCAUAAUAAUAUUACAGAUUUUGAAAAAUCUAACCGAGUAGGUAAAAGAUGUAAAGACGACGAUGGUAUGAAUAUUCAUGCGUCCGACGUAUUGGAACAACAAUUUGUUGAUGAUGGUAGUGCUAUGGUUUGUCACGCUGCGGCAGACAUGACUAGCCCUAUCAACAAUCAUAUAAUCGCUGAUUCGAAAAAAAUAAAUGUAUUUUCAGACAAUUUUAGUAUUAUUUCUAAUUCUGAAAAUAAUCAAUCUAAUCAAUUGUUUGACUGGGGAAAAAAUGUUUUGCAUACAAACCAUAUAAAUGAUUAUACUAGAAGUCUUUACGAUGGUAUUGUGAAUACAAAUAUAGAUGGUAUACAUGAUGAAUAUGAUGAUAUACAUGCUAAAAACAAUACAAAAUGUGAUAAUAUGUUGAAUUAUAACACUUAUAUAAAAUACAUGAACCAUGUUUCUAAAAACACUACACGGGCACAUGACUACGAAUAUAUUCAACAUACACCAUCCCGACGACAGCAACAUAUUAAAAGCAUAAACAAACAUGGUAAUGCUAAAGUUAUAACCAAUUAUAAUAAUUUUAAUAACGUUUGUUAUGGUAAUGAUAAAACAUAUUUAUAUAAUAGAGAGGAUGUACCAUACGCUUGGGAUAAUGUUGGUAAUGCUAGUAGAAACACUGGCAAUGAUAAUAACGAAGAUUGUAUGAGAUACGUCCACGAACAGAACAAGUAUAUUUCUUUUGACCGUUUUGACCGUUUUGACCGUUUUAACUGUUUUGACCGCUUUGAACGUUUUAAGCAGCCACCGAUUGUAAACUCAGAUGAAUAUUCAUGUGAUAGUUCGUCUGGUUAUGACAGUUACGAAUAUGUUAAACAUUUUUCAUACCUGCACAAAAAAAGUGA